RNAcentral lists this ribosomal RNA (330 nucleotides) under uncultured bacterium. RNAcentral describes it as "bacterial SSU rRNA". It matches the Rfam family "Bacterial small subunit ribosomal RNA", at positions 568 to 898 of the family's 1533-position model. The record is from RNAcentral.
CGCGUAGGCGGACAGUUAAGUCGGGGGUGAAAGCCCGGGGCUCAACCUCGGAAUUGCCUUCGAUACUGGCUGUCUUGAGUACGGGAGAGGUGUGUGGAACUCCGAGUGUAGAGGUGAAAUUCGUAGAUAUUCGGAAGAACACCAGUGGCGAAGGCGACACACUGGCCCGUUACUGACGCUGAUGCGCGAAAGCGUGGGGAGCAAACAGGAUUAGAUACCCUGGUAGUCCACGCUGUAAACGAUGAGUGCUAGUUGUCGGCAUGCAUGCAUGUCGGUGACGCAGCUAACGCAUUAAGCACUCCGCCUGGGGAGUACGGUCGCAAGAUUAAA